This 508-nucleotide ribosomal RNA is filed under the name uncultured bacterium. RNAcentral describes it as "partial 16S ribosomal RNA". It matches the Rfam family "Bacterial small subunit ribosomal RNA", at positions 28 to 507 of the family's 1533-position model. The record is from RNAcentral.
GAUGAACGCUGGCGGCGUGCCUAAUACAUGCAAGUCGAACGCAUAUACCCUCCGGUUUGCUUUCUGACGAUAGCGACGGACAGGUGCGGACCGGGUGGUAACCCUUCGUAUACCUCCGGGACAACUGCGGGUAACAGUUGCUAAUAGGUGCUAAUAUCGCGUACCACAUUGUGCCGCAGUGAAUAACGGUGAUGCUGGCUUUCGUAGGUGGAUGCUGGCUGGACCCGCGAUGCAUUAGCUAGUUGGUGAGGUAACGGCUCACCAAGGCCACGAUGCGUAGCCGACCUGAGAGGGUGAUCGGCCACACUGGAACUGAGACACGGUCCAGACUCCUACGGGAGGCAGCAGUAGGGAAUCUUCGGCAAUGGGCGAAAGCCUGACGGAGCAACGCCGCGUGAGUGAAGAAGGUUUUCGGAUCGUAAAACUCUGUUGUUAGGGAAGAACAAGGGUGUAAGUAACUGUACACCUCUUGACGGUACCUAACCAGAAAGCCACGGCUAACUACGUG